GGAGCUCAUGAAGCUUCGUAAGGACUGCGGUAUUAAUCUUACGCAGUCAGUAUGCAAAGUUGCACCCCCGCCUGGAUCUUCCACCAAUGGUUCUUCCUCACACAACUCUACACCUUCAAGCAGUCUAAAAAGUGCAG
Long non-coding RNA from Quercus lobata, 137 nucleotides. RefSeq lists it as uncharacterized. Lineage: Eukaryota; Viridiplantae; Streptophyta; Magnoliopsida; Fagales; Fagaceae. The transcript has 3 exons. The record is from RefSeq and is a predicted model, not a curated record.